CCGCGUAAUUACAGGGGCUGUAGGCAGGCCUGGCCGUAAAAUAGGAGGAUGAAACGGCCUGGGAACCGGGAGCUGACACCCGCCCGCCAAGCCCUCUCCAGACGGCAGCAGAUCCUGGCGGGGAGAAGAGCCCCGAGAGGCAAAUUCCAGCGGGUCCGCGCGCGGAGCAGCAAAGCCAGGUCCUGCACCCUCGCGUUCGCAGACUGGCACUUGCGACUUCUUCCCUUCUCCCGCACGCGACUGCGCCGAGGGACGCAAGCCCACCACCCGGACAGGCUUACAAAGCUCCACGCAGACCCACAAGUGAGCGAACACACAGCUCUGAGCAGAUCUGCCGGGGCAGAGGAGCGCGCUUCGCUCUUUCCUGCACCCCUAGCCUCCUCGCCUACCCAGCCCGCCCCUCCUCCACCUCCCCAGCCCCCAAGCCCCGGGGCAGCCGCGCGCCGGGCGGGGCGAGGGCGGGGCGGGGUGUCGGGCGGCGCCGGCCCAAAAGGCGGAGUCGCAAGGCGAAGGGGCCAGAUCUGUGAGCCCAACGCUGACUUCGCCGCGGAGAAAGCCAGCGGGAACCCAGACCCCUAG
RNAcentral lists this long non-coding RNA (579 nucleotides) under Rhinopithecus bieti (black snub-nosed monkey). RNAcentral's name for it is "lncRNA (ENSRBIG00000046505.1)". Lineage: Eukaryota; Metazoa; Chordata; Mammalia; Primates; Cercopithecidae. The record is from RNAcentral.